This is a non-coding RNA of Ictidomys tridecemlineatus (thirteen-lined ground squirrel), 966 nucleotides long. NCBI's taxonomy places the organism in Eukaryota, Metazoa, Chordata, Mammalia, Rodentia, Sciuridae. The record is from RefSeq and is a predicted model, not a curated record.
UCACCGGACCUCUGGGGAUGUGACAGUGGCUCGGGACAUGAGCCCGCUUGUUCGCUCACUCUCAGUGAAAAGAGUUUUGAAAUGAGUUCUGAAUAGACAGCAUUUUCUUUGUGCGGUUGGUAAAUAACACAGAGCAAAGUUAGCAAGUUGCAGCGCUUCUGCUUUCUGAUUCUAUGGAAACUUUUUGUAGGGAGAAGGGCAGGAUGUUUUUAACAGAAUGUGACCUCACGGGAACACUAGAGAAAGUAAUAAAAUAUCUGAAUCGGGCAGCGUGGAGAAAUCCUAAGAGAAAUAGCAUAAGAGCAUUUUGGAACAUAUCCAGGAAAAGAUAAUCUUUGACACACCUGUAGGCAUUCACCAGGUAAAGCCAAGAGAUGAAACAACCUGAGUGUCUGUCAAUAGAUGAACAGAUAAAAACAACAACAACAACAAUAACAACAACAAAAAACCUGUGGCAUAAAUACAACGGAACAUCAUUUGGCCUUAGAAGAAAGGACAUCCUGCACUUGCCACAACAUGGUUGAGCCUGCAGGACAUUAAUAAGCUAAGUAGUCAAAAACAGAAAAAAAUGUUGCAUGAUCUCAUUUAUGUGUGGAAUCUGAAAAAGGAAAAAAAUGCACAGAGAUGGAGAAUAAAACAGUGGUUACCAGGCUUGGAUGUGAGGUGUGUUUAUGUGAUGGGGUAAGGGCUGGGGGAGUGGGAAGGAAGGUGUAGUUGGAAAAUAUAAAAUAGCAGAUAUGUAGGAUGAAGAAGUCUAAAGUUCUUCAUGUAAGACAUGAACACUAUAGUUAAUAAAAUUGUAUUGUAAUAGGGACUUUUGUUAAGUAAGUAGAGUUUAGCUGUUCUUUUCACAAACAGUAUCUGUAAGAUGAUGAAUAUGUUGAUUUGCUACCCUACGUAACCAUUUUACUAUCUAUAUGUAUCUAACAAUAUCAUGUCACACAAUAAAAUUUAUUCUAAAAAAGA